AUUGAACGCUGGCGGCAGGCUUAACACAUGCAAGUCGAGCGGUAACAGGGGGAGCUUGCUCCCUGCUGACGAGCGGCGGACGGGUGAGUAAUGCAUAGGAAUCUGCCCGGUAGUUGGGGAUAGCCCGGGGAAACCCGGAUUAAUACCGAAUACGCCCUACGGGGGAAAGCAGGGGAUCUUCGGACCUUGCGCUAUCGGAUGAGCCUAUGUCGGAUUAGCUGGUUGGUGGGGUAACGGCCUACCAAGGCGACGAUCCGUAGCUGGUCUGAGAGGAUGAUCAGCCACAUCGGGACUGAGACACGGCCCGAACUCCUACGGGAGGCAGCAGUGGGGAAUAUUGGACAAUGGGGGCAACCCUGAUCCAGCCAUGCCGCGUGUGUGAAGAAGGCUUUCGGGUUGUAAAGCACUUUCAGUGAGAAGGAAAACCUGAUGGCUAAUACCCAUGAGGCUUGACGUUACUCACAGAAGAAGCACCGGCUAACUCCGUGCCAGCAGCCGCGGUAAUACGGAGGGUGCGAGCGUUAAUCGGAAUUACUGGGCGUAAAGCGCGCGUAGGUGGUUUGGUAAGCGAGAUGUGAAAGCCCCGGGCUUAACCUGGGAACGGCAUUUCGAACUGUCAGACUAGAGU
This 628-nucleotide ribosomal RNA is filed under the name uncultured bacterium. Its description in RNAcentral is "bacterial SSU rRNA". It matches the Rfam family "Bacterial small subunit ribosomal RNA", at positions 28 to 647 of the family's 1533-position model. The record is from RNAcentral.